RNAcentral lists this long non-coding RNA (1290 nucleotides) under Equus caballus (horse). RNAcentral's name for it is "lncRNA (ENSECAG00000028665.3)". The record is from RNAcentral. Lineage: Eukaryota; Metazoa; Chordata; Mammalia; Perissodactyla; Equidae.
ACCAGCUCCAGGAGGGCAUGAGACCUCACCGGUCUUAUUCAUCAGUGUCGACCCAGCAGUGGCCCCCUGUCUGGUCCGUGUAGGUGCUCAAGACAUAUAACUGGCGUUGUUGUUGAGACCUGAGGGGCAAUGACGGGUCACCCCGCUUCCCCCAUCUCCAGGUUCAGAACCAAGUGAGAGGAUGCAGGAGUUAGACGAGCGCAGGUCCAAGUGUCAGCUUUGUCCCAGCACCGGAGACUGCGGCUGGGAUCUGUGAAGUCCCCUGCCCCACUUGACCUGACCCAUCCAGGCUGAGCUGCAGGCUUUGAGGAUGAGAGUGGAGGUUUCACUGGAUGGAGGUAGUACCCCGUCUUUCAGUUCUCUGCUCCCUGACCUGGCUCUGCGGAAGAGCAUGAGGCGCCCUCUCAGGUUCCCUCGGGGAUGGGAAACGAGGCCCAUCUCAACUCCUGUCCUCCACACACACCAGCUCCCCCAGGAGGGGCACCCGUAGAAUCUGUAUUCGGGCAUCACCCCAUUCGUUCAGCAAUAUCUGCUGGAGUCAGGGAGCAAAGGAUGACAGACACACCUGCCCGGAGAUGAGGGAUGUGCCAGGCGGCCGGUCCCUGGAGGCAUCCCAUGCUGCUGGGCUUCUUCAUGUCCCGCUUGGGUUCCAUCAGGUUCUAUUUGAAGAUUUUUUAAAAAUGAUUUUUUUGGCUAAAAAUGAUACAGUUGGAAAUCCCUGGUCAAGAAGAUAGGGUCCCCCUGUCAUCCCAGGAAGCCCGAGGAACGGAUUCUAACAAAGAAGUCACUGUUGUCGAGAAUUAUUUCUUCCUGCCCAUCUCAUCCAGAGCUACUGGCUUCCGGAUGGUUCUUGGUGUUGGCGGUGGGAUGGCGCGGUAUAACGGGAAAGACACAGCCACUCACUGGCGUGCCUCACUGGGCACAUGGCUUCCCAUCUGAGAUCAAUGUUCCCGAGGGAAAAACACGGAUAAUUUGACCUGUCUGGCACAGAGGUUUGGGAAAUAUCCAGAAAGUACCUUGCACGUGGCAGGAGCUCAGAAGAUAAUUAUUAUCGUUAUCGUUGUCAUCCUCUCCACGGCCAGUCUCACCCCAGGACAUGACUUUGUAGCCAUUUUACUUGAAGAAUCCCAGGGCUGGAAGGGAUCUGAGCGAGUUUGAAGAAACCUGUUCCUGACUCUCAAGAGGAUUCAGCAGAAUUGAGAAUACACCUGGGGAGGCCGGAAUUUCCUUCCAAAGCCUUGUCCGGAGCACCAUCUGUGCCUUACUGUUUUUGGUUAAUCUGAGAAAAUU